RNAcentral lists this non-coding RNA (30 nucleotides) under Homo sapiens (human). Lineage: Eukaryota; Metazoa; Chordata; Mammalia; Primates; Hominidae. The record is from RNAcentral.
UAGGCUUAGUACCUGGUGACAAAAUAAUCU